Molecule: long non-coding RNA, 373 nt
Organism: Amphimedon queenslandica
Lineage: Eukaryota; Metazoa; Porifera; Demospongiae; Haplosclerida; Niphatidae
Exons: 2
Source: RefSeq, a predicted model, not a curated record
UGCAUCAAGAUAUGAGAUUACUGAUACUAUACAGUUACUGGUUGAUGGAUCUCAUGAUGGUACUAUACUACCAACAUAAAUAUAUGUAGCAAGAGAGUACAUGUACAUAGAGAGGAAGGACAAGCAGUAUAAAUCAGACAGAGGCUGUGCAUUAGUACAAUAUUAUAAAGAAAGAAGAGGAGGAGGUGAACUAUCAGAAGCAGUACUAGAAGAACUCAUUAGUCAUUAUGCUGCUGAGAGAAAGAAACGAACUGGACUAUUUGUACAAUCAUUGAUCAAGAAAAGAAAUAACUAUCUGGAAACUUUAACUGAACAAUAAUUGUCAUUAUGAUUAUACUGCAAAUGAUUAUCAGGUUUAUAAUGUGAGAGUGAA